RNAcentral lists this ribosomal RNA (506 nucleotides) under uncultured bacterium. RNAcentral's name for it is "partial 16S ribosomal RNA". It matches the Rfam family "Bacterial small subunit ribosomal RNA", at positions 30 to 523 of the family's 1533-position model. The record is from RNAcentral.
AUUGAACGCUGGCGGCAGGCCUAACACAUGCAAGUCGGGCGGUAACAGGGAGAAGCUUGCUUCUCUGCUGACGAGCGGCGGACGGGUGAGUAAUGUAUGGGGAUCUGCCUGAUGGCGGGGGAUAACUACUGGAAACGGUAGCUAAUACCGCAUAAUGUCUUCGGACCAAAGCGGGGGACCUCCGGGCCUCGCGCCAUCAGAUGAACCCAUAUGGGAUUAGCUAGUAGGUAAGGUAACGGCCUACCUAGGCGACGAUCCCUAGCUGGUCUGAGAGGAUGGUCAGCCACACUGGGACUGAGAAACGGCCCAGACUCCUACGGGAGGCAGCAGUGGGGAAUAUUGGACAAUGGGGGCAAGCCUGAUGCAGCCAUGCCGCGUGUAUGAAGAAGGCCUUCGGGUUGUAAAGUACUUUCAGUCGGGAGGAAGGUGUCAAGGUUAAUAACCUUGGCAAUUGACGUUACCGACAGAAGAAGCACCGGCUAACUCCGUGCCAGCCGCCGCAGUAA